RNAcentral lists this unclassified non-coding RNA (379 nucleotides) under soil metagenome. Its description in RNAcentral is "partial contains 5.8S ribosomal RNA, internal transcribed spacer 2, and large subunit ribosomal RNA". The stretch from base 1 to 120 matches the Rfam family "5.8S ribosomal RNA", at positions 35 to 154 of the family's 154-position model. The record is from RNAcentral.
GAUGAAGAACGUAGCGAAAUGCGAUAAGUAAUGUGAAUUGCAGAAUUCAGUGAAUCAUCGAAUCUUUGAACGCACCUUGCACCCUUUGGCAUUCUGAAGGGUAUGCUCGUUUGAGUGUCAUUGUACUCUCACACUCCCGAUCUUUGCAUUGGGAGCAGUGGACUUGGGUUUGCUGCUUCACCGUCGCUUACCUCAAAUAGGUUAGUGCAACUCUUGGUUGGACAUAGUACGGCGUGAUAAGUGUUCUUCGCCGGUGCCUCGCAAAGAGGGUGGCCGAUCGGGAUGUUGUGCUCCAAACCGUCUUCGGACAAUCUCUGACGACUUGACCUCAAAUCGAGUAAGACUACCCGCUGAACUUAAGCAUACAAUAAGCGGAGGA